UNUGACUUGAGUGCAGAAGGGGAGAGUGGAAUUCCAUGUGUAGCGGUGAAAUGCGUAGAUAUAUGGAGGANCACCAGUGGCGAAAGCGGCUCUCUGGUCUGUCACUGACGCUGAGGCUCGAAAGCGUGGGUAGCGAACAGGAUUAGAUACCCUGGUAGUCCACGCCGUAAACGAUGAGUGCUAGGUGUUAGGCCCUUUCCGGGGCUUAGUGCCGGAGCUAACGCAAUAAGCACUCCGCCUGGGGAGUACGACCGCAAGGUUGAAACUCAAAGGAAUUGACGGGGGCCCGCACAAGCGGUGGAGCAUGUGGUUUAAUUCGAAGCAACGCGAAGAAUCUUACCAGGUCUUGACAUCCCGAUGCUAUUCUUAGAGAUAGGAAGUUACUUCGGUACAUCGGAGACAGGUGGUGCAUGGUUGUCGUCAGCUCGUGUCGUGAGAUGUUGGGUUAAGUCCCGCAACGAGCGCAACCCUUAUUGUUAGUUGCCAUCAUUAAGUUGGGCACUCUAGCGAGACUGCCGGUAAUAAACCGGAGGAAGGUGGGGAUGACGUCGAAUCAUCAUGCCCCUUAUGACCUGGGCUACACACGUGCUACA
RNAcentral lists this ribosomal RNA (593 nucleotides) under uncultured bacterium. RNAcentral's name for it is "bacterial SSU rRNA". It matches the Rfam family "Bacterial small subunit ribosomal RNA", at positions 636 to 1229 of the family's 1533-position model. The record is from RNAcentral.